AACGUAGGACACAAGCGUUAUCCGGAGUUACUGGGCGUAAAGAGCGCGUAGGCGGUUUGUUAAGUCUGCUAUGAAAGCACCUGGCUAAACUGGGUGAGGCUGGCGGAUACUGGCAAGCUAGAGUGAGACAGAGGCAGAUGGAAUUCCGCGUGUAGUGGUGAAAUGCGUAGAGAUGUGGAGGAACACCGAUGGCGAAGGCAGCCCCCUGGGUUAACACUGACGCUCAGGCACGAAAGCGUGGGGAGCAAACAGG
RNAcentral lists this ribosomal RNA (253 nucleotides) under uncultured bacterium. Its description in RNAcentral is "partial 16S ribosomal RNA". It matches the Rfam family "Bacterial small subunit ribosomal RNA", at positions 524 to 776 of the family's 1533-position model. The record is from RNAcentral.